UACGUAGGGUGCGAGCGUUAAUCGGAAUUACUGGGCGUAAAGCGUGCGCAGGCGGCUUUGCAAGACAGAUGUGAAAUCCCCGGGCUUAACCUGGGAACUGCAUUUGUGACUGCAAGGCUAGAGUACGGUAGAGGGGGAUGGAAUUCCGCGUGUAGCAGUGAAAUGCGUAGAUAUGCGGAGGAACACUGAUGGCGAAGGCAGCCCCCUGGGCUGACACUGACGCUCAGGCCCGAAAGCGUGGGGAGCAAACAGG
Molecule: ribosomal RNA, 253 nt
Filed under: uncultured prokaryote
Description: partial 16S ribosomal RNA
Rfam family: Bacterial small subunit ribosomal RNA
Source: RNAcentral